RNAcentral lists this transfer RNA (66 nucleotides) under Streptococcus pyogenes. Its description in RNAcentral is "tRNA-Leu". It matches the Rfam family "tRNA". Rfam says of the family: Transfer RNA (tRNA) molecules are approximately 80 nucleotides in length. Their secondary structure includes four short double-helical elements and three loops (D, anti-codon, and T loops). The record is from RNAcentral. Lineage: Bacteria; Bacillati; Bacillota; Bacilli; Lactobacillales; Streptococcaceae.
CGCGGGAUGGAGCAGUUAGGUGGGCUCAUAACCCGAAGGUCGUAGGUUCAAAUCCUGCUCCCGCAA